This 128-nucleotide microRNA precursor is filed under the name Mus pahari (shrew mouse). RNAcentral describes it as "miRNA (MGP_PahariEiJ_G0007428.1)". Lineage: Eukaryota; Metazoa; Chordata; Mammalia; Rodentia; Muridae. The record is from RNAcentral.
UUAGUCAGUACCCCAGCCUUCUGCCUUCCCUCAGAGCCAAGGGGUGGAAAACGUUGUAGGGAAUUCUUAGUUACAGCUGAGCCCUACCCUUUACCGUGGGAGUGGGGAAAACUCAGUGCAGUCUGCCA